This 501-nucleotide ribosomal RNA is filed under the name uncultured eukaryote. RNAcentral describes it as "eukaryotic LSU rRNA". The stretch from base 95 to 248 matches the Rfam family "5.8S ribosomal RNA". The record is from RNAcentral.
CGACUGGCCCCGCUUGUGCAACCAAUUGUGUAUUUUUACGCACUUGUUUAUUCAUGUAUGCUAGCCAGCAAUGGCAGCAAAGUAAAAACGUGACAACUUCUAACGGUGGAUCUCUUGGCUCGUGCAUCGAUGAAGAACGUAGCCAGUUGCGAUAAGUAGUGUGAAUUGCAGAAUUCAGUGAAUCAUCGAAUCUUUGAACGCAAAUUGCGCUUUCUGGAUAUCCAGGGAGCAUGCCUGUCUGAGCGUCGUUUAAUAAUCUACACACCUCGGUGUGGGUAGGGAGUUCAUGCAAUCUUGGUUGCCUGUCUCUUGAUGUAUCUGAACCUGCAGAACACUAACUUAGUGUACUGCUUGGAAGGCUCAACUUGCUUCUGUCCUUCUAAAGUAAGUAUCGUUAGAGUUUUGUUAUGGUUUUCUGAAUUUUCGAAUUCACCAUUUGAUUUUUGACCUCAGAUCAGACAAGACUACCCGCUGAAUUUAAGCAUAUCAAUAAGCGGAGGA